Cucurbita moschata (crookneck pumpkin) is the source of this 620-nucleotide long non-coding RNA. RefSeq lists it as uncharacterized. The record is from RefSeq and is a predicted model, not a curated record. The transcript has 3 exons. NCBI's taxonomy places the organism in Eukaryota, Viridiplantae, Streptophyta, Magnoliopsida, Cucurbitales, Cucurbitaceae.
UAUAUCAAGGAUAUAGAAAAUGAAGAAUUGUUGGAAUCAAGGAAUAAGGGAUCUCAAAAAAAAGUUUGUGGCAUUUUAGAGGAAGGAAGCCCACGAAUAAAAGGAUUUGCUUAAUUGGUUGGUGAUAAGGAAAAGUUAAAUUCUAUUUGGUCUAUCAGUUCGUUAAUGGACAAUCUUUUGGAUAUUUUUAGUUUGUGAUGGUUAUUUUGUAAGGAAGGAAGAAAGAUAAGUUUGGAUAAGAUUAUUGUGGGUAAAAGUAUGAUAAUGGUGGAUAUAGGACUAUUCAAAAGGUUAAGAACCGAAAAUGGAAGUUUGUUCAAAUUGGAGAUUCGAAAAGCUUAUUUUGGAAUCAAGAAAUAGGAAGUCAUAUGCCAUGAGAAGUAGAAAAUAAUUUAUAUCAAGGAAAAGGAAAAGUUAAGAAUUGUUGGAAUCAAGGAAUGAGACGAAAAGUUAAGAAUUGUUGGAAUCAAGGAAUAAGGGAUCUCAAAAGAAAGUUUGUGGAAUUUUAGAGGAAGGAAGCACUCGAAUAAAAGGAUUUGCUUAAUUGGUUGGUGAUAAGGAAAAGUUAAAUUCUAUUUGGUCUAUAAGUUCGUUAAUGCACAAUCUUUUUAAUUUGUGAU